Molecule: transfer RNA, 73 nt
Filed under: Poecilia formosa (Amazon molly)
Lineage: Eukaryota; Metazoa; Chordata; Actinopteri; Cyprinodontiformes; Poeciliidae
Rfam family: tRNA
About the family: Transfer RNA (tRNA) molecules are approximately 80 nucleotides in length. Their secondary structure includes four short double-helical elements and three loops (D, anti-codon, and T loops).
Source: Rfam by way of RNAcentral
GUGUCUGUAGUGUAGUGGUUAUCACGUUGGCUUUACACGCAAAAGGUUUCUAGUUCAAAACCAGACAGAAAUG